UACGAAGGGAGCUAGCGUUGUUCGGAAUUACUGGGCGUAAAGGGCGCGUAGGCGGUUUAGUAAGUCAGAUGUGAAAGCCCUGGGCUCAACCCGGGAACUGCGUUUGAAACUACUAAGCUUGAAUUCGGGAGAGGUUGGUAGAAUUCCCAGUGUAGAGGUGAAAUUCGUAGAGAUUGGGAAGAAUACCCGUGGCGAAGGCGGCCAACUGGACCGACAUUGACGCUGAGGCGCGAAAGCGUGGGGAGCAAACAGG
RNAcentral lists this ribosomal RNA (253 nucleotides) under uncultured bacterium. RNAcentral's name for it is "partial 16S ribosomal RNA". It matches the Rfam family "Bacterial small subunit ribosomal RNA", at positions 524 to 776 of the family's 1533-position model. The record is from RNAcentral.